UGAAGGUCAGGCUGAAGACCUUACCCGAUUAGCUGAGAGGUGGUGCAUGGCCGUCGUCAGUUCGUACUGUGAAGCAUCCGUGUUAAGUCAGGCAACGAGCGAGACCCACGUCCACAGUUGCCAGCAUACCCCUCCGGGGUGAUGGGUACACUGUGGAGACCGCCGCUGCUAAAGCGGAGGAAGGAAUGGGCAACGGUAGGUCAGUAUGCCCCGAAUCUCCCGGGCUACACGCGGGCUACAAUGGUUGGUACAAUGGGCAUCUACCCCGAAAGGGGAAGGAAAUCUCUUAAAGCCAAUCGUAGUUCGGAUUGAGGGCUGCAACUCGCCCUCAUGAAGCUGGAAUCCGUAGUAAUCGCGUUUCAACAGAACGCGGUGAAUACGUCCCUGCUCCUU
Molecule: ribosomal RNA, 393 nt
Filed under: uncultured Methanosaeta sp.
Lineage: Archaea; Methanobacteriati; Methanobacteriota; Methanomicrobia; Methanotrichales; Methanotrichaceae
Description: bacterial SSU rRNA
Rfam family: Archaeal small subunit ribosomal RNA
Source: RNAcentral